UACGGAGGGGGCGAGCGUUAUUCGGAAUUAUUGGGCGUAAAGCGCGUGUAGGCGGCUUGGCAAGUCGGGUGUGAAAGCCCUCAGCUCAACUGAGGAAGUGCGCCCGAAACUGCUGAGCUUGAGUGCCGGAGAGGAUGGCGGAAUACCCCAAGUAGAGGUGAAAUUCGUAGAUAUGGGGUGGAACACCGGUGGCGAAGGCGGCCAUCUGGACGGUAACUGACGCUGAGACGCGAAAGCGUGGGUAGCAAACAGG
RNAcentral lists this ribosomal RNA (253 nucleotides) under uncultured bacterium. RNAcentral's name for it is "partial 16S ribosomal RNA". It matches the Rfam family "Bacterial small subunit ribosomal RNA", at positions 524 to 776 of the family's 1533-position model. The record is from RNAcentral.